RNAcentral lists this ribosomal RNA (497 nucleotides) under uncultured bacterium. RNAcentral's name for it is "partial 16S ribosomal RNA". It matches the Rfam family "Bacterial small subunit ribosomal RNA", at positions 28 to 507 of the family's 1533-position model. The record is from RNAcentral.
GAUGAACGCUGGCGGCGUGCCUAAUACAUGCAAGUCGAGCGAACAGAUGAGGAGCUUGCUCCUCUGACGUUAGCGGCGGACGGGUGAGUAACACGUGGAUAACCUACCUAUAAGACUUGGAUAACUUCGGGAAACCGGAUCUAAUACCGGAUAAUAUAUUGAACCGCAUGGUUCAAUAGUGAAAGACGGUUUUGCUGUCACUUAUAGAUGUAUCCGCGCCGCAUUAGCUAGUUGGUAAGGUAACGGCUUACCAAGGCAACGAUGCGUAGCCGACCUGAGAGGGUGAGCGGCCACACUGGAACUGAGACACGGUCCAGACUCCUACGGGAGGCAGCAGUAGGGAAUCUUCCGCAAUGGGCGAAAGCAUGACGGAGCAACGCCGCGUGAGUGAUGAAGGUCUUCGGAUCGUAAAACUCUGUUAUUAGGGAAGAAAAAAUGUGUAAGUAAAUAUGCACGUCUUGACGGUACCUAAUCAGAAAGCCACGGCUAACUACGUG